CCUAUCUCAGCUAUGUCACUA
Molecule: microRNA, 21 nt
Filed under: Plutella xylostella (diamondback moth)
Lineage: Eukaryota; Metazoa; Arthropoda; Insecta; Lepidoptera; Plutellidae
Description: pxy-miR-8536b-3p
Source: miRBase by way of RNAcentral